Molecule: ribosomal RNA, 464 nt
Filed under: uncultured bacterium
Lineage: Bacteria
Description: bacterial SSU rRNA
Rfam family: Bacterial small subunit ribosomal RNA
Source: RNAcentral
CCUANGGGGGGCAGCAGUGGGGAAUAUUGGACAAUGGGCGCAAGCCUGAUCCAGCAAUACCGCGUGUGUGAAGAAGGCCCUAGGGUUGUAAAGCACUUUCAAUAGGGAGGAAAACCUGCCGGUCAAUACCCGGUAGCUUGACAUUACCUAUACAAGAAGCACCGGCUAACUCCGUGCCAGCAGCCGCGGUAAUACGGAGGGUGCAAGCGUUAAUCGGAAUUACUGGGCGUAAAGCGUGCGUAGGCGGUUCGUUAAGUCAGAUGUGAAAGCCCCGGGCUCAACCUGGGAACUGCAUUUGAAACUGGCGAACUCGAGUUGAGUAGAGGGGAGUGGAAUUUCAGGUGUAGCGGUGAAAUGCGUAGAUAUCUGAAGGAACACCAGUGGCGAAGGCGACUCCCUGGACUCAAACUGACGCUGAGGUACGAAAGCGUGGGUAGCAAACAGGAUUAGAUACCCUANUANUC